Molecule: ribosomal RNA, 497 nt
Filed under: uncultured bacterium
Lineage: Bacteria
Description: partial 16S ribosomal RNA
Rfam family: Bacterial small subunit ribosomal RNA
Source: RNAcentral
GACGAACGCUGGCGGCGUGCCUAAUACAUGCAAGUUGAGCGCUGAAGGUUGGUACUUGUACCAACUGGAUGAGCAGCGAACGGGUGAGUAACGCGUGGGGAAUCUGCCUUUGAGCGGGGGACAACAUUUGGAAACGAAUGCUAAUACCGCAUAAAAACUUUAAACACAAGUUUUAAGUUUGAAAGAUGCAAUUGCAUCACUCAAAGAUGAUCCCGCGUUGUAUUAGCUAGUUGGUGAGGUAAAGGCUCACCAAGGCGAUGAUACAUAGCCGACCUGAGAGGGUGAGCGGCCACAUUGGGACUGAGACACGGCCCAAACUCCUACGGGAGGCAGCAGUAGGGAAUCUUCGGCAAUGGACGAAAGUCUGACCGAGCGACGCCGCGUGAGUGAAGAAGGUUUUCGGAUCGUAAAACUCUGUUGGUAGAGAAGAACGUUGGUGAGAGUGGAAAGCUCAUCAAGUGACGGUAACUACCCAGAAAGGGACGGCUAACUACGUG